This 822-nucleotide ribosomal RNA is filed under the name Euplotes sp. 2 cPFEU3. RNAcentral's name for it is "SSU rRNA". It matches the Rfam family "Eukaryotic small subunit ribosomal RNA", at positions 486 to 1240 of the family's 1831-position model. The record is from RNAcentral. Lineage: Eukaryota; Ciliophora; Spirotrichea; Euplotida; Euplotidae.
UAGGAUUUAUCCUGGGAUCACAAUGGGCUUGAUUUGCAAACUUUACAUUUAGCGAGGAACAAUUGGAGGGCAAGUCUGGUGCCAGCAGCCGCGGUAAUUCCAGCUCCAAUAGAGUAUAUAAAUGUUCCUGCAGUUAUUCGAUGCUCGUAGUUGGAUUUCUGAAGUUGAGGCGGGAGGGUGGCUAUGGCCAUCGCCCAUCUCUUCCUUCAUCCACCUGUUAGCGAAUCCCGGGAUUGAUUUCUCGGUUUCGGGCUCAGGUAUCUUACCAUUUUCUAUAUUUGCAAUCUUCAUCGAUUAUGCAUUUAUUCUUUGAGCAAAUUAUAGUGUUUCAGGCAGGCGUGCGCCGGAAUACAUUAGCAUGGUAUAAACGAAUUGGACCGUGUAUUCAUUAUUUGAAUUCUUCCUUAUUUGUUGGUUUGAAGGACACGGAGAUGGUUAAUAGGGACAGAAUUUAUUUCAGGGGGAGGCAUUAGUAUUUAAUUUCCAGAGGUGAAAUUCUUUGAAAUAUUAAAGACUAACUUAUGCGAAAGCAUUUAUUUGCCAAUGAUGUUUUCAUUAAUCAUUGAACGAAAGUUAGGGGAUCAAAGACGAUCAGAUACCGUCCUAGUCUUAACCAUAAACGUUGCCGACUAGGGAUCGGAGGGCGUGCACAUUCCGCCUUCGGCACCUUACGAGAAAUCAAAGUCUUUUGGGUUCUGUGGGUAGUAUGGUCGCAAGGCUGAAACUUAAAGGAAUUGACGGAAGGGCACCACCAGGAGUGGAGCUUGCGGCUCAAUUUGACUCAACACGGGAAAUCUUACCAGGUCCAGACAUAGCGAGGAU